GAAAAAGAGAGGGCAGGCUACUCCCAGCAGAAGUAUCCCACUUGGGCCAGACUUCCCUGACUCGAUCCUCAUUUGACUUCACCCACAAGACUUCAGUAUGCAGGUCUCACGCUGGACCAGGUGCCCCAGGUUUAGAUGAAAACCCAAACCUGGUGGAGGACUGUAUCGACAUCAGACCCAGGUGGUGCCGACUAGACCCUGCCAAUCAAAGCACCCCAUGCAUCCGGCCACUGUGAUGGUUCAGAAUGGACAUUUGAUCCAGACCAGUCUAAUGAGACCUGAUCCUGACACUUCUGCUGGAACCACUGGUAACAAGGAGCUC
RNAcentral lists this long non-coding RNA (322 nucleotides) under Dasypus novemcinctus (nine-banded armadillo). Its description in RNAcentral is "lncRNA (ENSDNOG00000052094.1)". Lineage: Eukaryota; Metazoa; Chordata; Mammalia; Cingulata; Dasypodidae. The record is from RNAcentral.